UACGUAGGGGGCGAGCGUUGUCCGGAGUUACUGGGCGUAAAGGGCAUGCAGGCGGUCGGGCGCGUUUGGUGUGACAGCGCAGGGCUCAACUCUGCGAGCAUACGAAAGACGGCCUGACUUGAGGACUCGAGAGGGACACGGAAUUCCGGGUGGAGUGGUGAAAUGCGUAGAUAUGCGGAGGAACACCGAUGGCGAAGGCAAUCCCCUGGACCUGUACUGACGCUCAUGCACGAAAGCGUGGGGAGCAAACAGG
RNAcentral lists this ribosomal RNA (253 nucleotides) under uncultured prokaryote. RNAcentral's name for it is "partial 16S ribosomal RNA". It matches the Rfam family "Bacterial small subunit ribosomal RNA", at positions 524 to 776 of the family's 1533-position model. The record is from RNAcentral.